RNAcentral lists this ribosomal RNA (440 nucleotides) under uncultured bacterium. RNAcentral's name for it is "partial 16S ribosomal RNA". It matches the Rfam family "Bacterial small subunit ribosomal RNA", at positions 338 to 795 of the family's 1533-position model. The record is from RNAcentral.
CCUACGGGAGGCUGCAGUGGGGAAUAUUGCACAAUGGGGGAAACCCUGAUGCAGCGACGCCGCGUGAAGGAAGAAGUAUUUCGGUAUGUAAACUUCUAUCAGUAGGGAAGAAAAUGACGGUACCUGACUCAGAAGCCCCGGCUAACUACGGGCCAGCAGCCCUGGUACUACGUAGGGGGCAAGCGUUAUCCGGAUUUACUGGGUGUAAAGGGAGCGUAGGCGGUUUAGCAAGUGCGAAGUGAAAGGCCGGGGCUCAACUCCGGGACUGCCUUUGAAACUGUUGGACUAGAUAGCAGGAGAGGUAAGUGGAAUGCCUAGUGUAGCGGUGAAAUGCGUAGAUAUUAGGCAGAACACCAGUGGCGAAGGCAGCUUACUGGACUGUAAAUGACGCUGAGGCUCGAAAGCGUGGGGAGCAAACAGGAUUAGAUACCCCUGUAGUC